UGUUAGAUGGUAGCCUUCAGAGCAGGCCCUUUACAGAAAGUUUUCUGGAGUUAAAACACAAGCAUAUAACCUACUGAGCACUCCUACGGUUUCAUUAUUUAUUACACAACAAUGUUACUAAUAGCAAUAAUGUGUGCAAGGCAGCCCAGGAUUUCUUAGCAAAACUAAUGCCAAUAAACCAAAGAAAGAUUCUAAGGCAUACUGUAACAGGUAGUUUAAAGUUUUUUCUUACAGUGCUACAUUUAGAAGGAGUCAAGCCAUGCAGUGCUUUAUAGCUUAAGAUUUCAAUGUACUUAAAAAAAACAAAACAAAAAACACCUCUCAGCCUUCAGAAGACAGCCAUAUUUCUGCCUCUCCUCAGCUCUGGGAGAAGCAGUGCUCCUUGCAGACCCUUAGGGUAAUGCUUCUGAGUCUGCUGGUUGGUACCAAUUUAACCAGAACAGGAGACUUCCCUCGACUUCCUUCUUGAGAGGCAAGUUAAAUUCACUGAACUUAUAAAAUGUGGCACCUUUUAAUGUCCCACGGAAGUCUUACGUAUAGCAAUUCAGUUCUUACUUUGGAAAUCCCUGCACAGCCAAAGUCAUUUCGGAAAAAGUUAAAUCUGAUAAUAAACAUUUAACUUCACUAUAUUUCCCUUUUCUGGAUAUCAGGUUGCUUCUCCACAUGAAUUGGAAAAGGAGGCAAACUCUUUUAUUCUUUAGACACUGGAAAAAUACUUUGCAACUGGGCACUGGCUGCUUGAUGAAGAUUAAGGCUUUUAAAAAUAGGAAAGCUUUUUGAAGAUUACAGUAAAGUGAAGGGCAUUUAAGUAUUUUUUGGAUAUAACUGCCACAGCAACUAUCAAAAAUGAAUUUAAGAUACAUAACAAGAUUACCUCUAAUUUUACCAUUACUUGUGAUUUUAAAGUGGACAAACAUUACCCAUUAAGAACCCUGGAAAAGCCAAUGAUAAACUGAAUUCCUGAAAUGAUAAAUCAUUCAAAAUAGGGAAGAAUCCUAAAAUUUGAUUAGACUUUAGUAUAUCAUGGCAAGAUAUAGGCGCAAGCUAAAUAUGUAACUAGUGAAAUCCUUAAAAAGAAUUUUUAUUUUCCUCAAACAGAAGACUUGGAAGAAAACCAAGGUAUUUCCUAAGUGUAGUAAAUACUGGAGGCUUGUCCCAAGGGAAGUCUUUUUCCAAUCUCUUGCUGCAAUGAUUAUAACACUAAAUCGAGUGAGGAAUAUUAAUGCUUGUCAUUUAUAUGUCACUAAGUUUGCUUUCUUUUAGGAGGAAAACUUGGUUAAGUUCUGUCACAUCAAGACUCUAGCUAGCUGCCGCGGCGUUACGCUUAUUAAUUACUGAUGGGCUCCAUGGAGUUAAUCAGCCUUUAGGCACAUGUUCUGGGGAUCUAACAGAUGUUCCCUCCUUAGUCUCAAUAGGCCAACCAAGCUCACCCCUUGGAAAUUGUCCAGUUCUAGGAGCCUGUCCUUUGUAGAAAGUGAAUUGUUGACUUCGCUCAACACAAGCUGUCUUCUUCCUUCAAGGCUGUCACAGCAUGCCACAGCGAGAGUAUUCUGAUCACCAAGGAGGAAUACAACCAGCAAAGUAUUCUGCCAAGAGGCCCAGGUCCGAACAUGCCAUCCCAGCACCACAAAGCUUGCUCAGUGCGGAUUAGCACAGGAAUGAAGUCAAGUGAACUCUGCGUGCUAAUGAGUGGAAGAUUUGGCACUGGCCAUGGGGGUCCAGGAACAGCACCGCAUAGACUGUGUGCCCCGGCAGGCCUGUGGGACCAGACCGCGUGGGUUCUAGCACUGGCUCUGUCUUACACGGUGUGAUCUGGGACAGGUGACCCAACCUGUCCAGGCCUGAGAUUUUACAUCUGUGAUAAAAGUUAGGAUGGCCAUGUGGAUUAAAACAAGAUGAUCCAGAUAAAGUACAAGCGUCUGGAAUGAGUUACACUGGUCGGGAAGGUUAGUGUCGUUUGACAUGGACUCCAGAAUUGAAAUGAUUUGCUUAAAAGAUGGCCGUUUCUGAGGAAGAGAAAAUAAUCACUUGUUGGGACUUAGGAAAGCAAGUCUUGAAGAGAAAAUCCACAAGCACAGCAAUAAGCUCGACGCACCACAACAAAAUAAAACGGCAUGCAACGUCCUGAGUUAUUUUACGACUGUCAGACUGCUCAGGUUGAAGGGGACCAUAUUCCUUAUUUUCAAUACAUUAUUUGUAAGAACAGAGUCAGAUGUCAUUUUUCUAUCAUGUGGCCUAAGGUUGGAAUAAUUACAGUUUUUCUCCAGGUAAGAAAAAGCCAUCUCAGAAAAGUAUGGAUUGGCCAGUAUCACACAGGAAGCAAGUUUCUGAAUCAGGGGCAAGGCUCUGAAACCCUUCAAUGUGUUUUAUCACAUGAGGGGAAAGGCAAUGGGCCUUCAUGCUCAAAUGUGCUAACCACAGGAAAGUCUACAUUUUGGAAUGUCUCCAACUCUGUAGUGAUGGCUUCAAAACAUCAUGAAUCCGGACAAGGAGUAUCUAUCAAGUUUCUCUAGAAGUGCUACUCUGGGGGCGCCUGGGUGGCUCAGUCGUUAAGCCUCUGCCUUCGGCUCAG
Callorhinus ursinus (northern fur seal) is the source of this 2572-nucleotide non-coding RNA. Lineage: Eukaryota; Metazoa; Chordata; Mammalia; Carnivora; Otariidae. The record is from RefSeq and is a predicted model, not a curated record.